This 601-nucleotide ribosomal RNA is filed under the name uncultured Helotiales. RNAcentral's name for it is "eukaryotic LSU rRNA". The stretch from base 238 to 391 matches the Rfam family "5.8S ribosomal RNA". Lineage: Eukaryota; Fungi; Ascomycota; Leotiomycetes; Helotiales. The record is from RNAcentral.
CUUGGUCAUUUAGAGGAAGUAAAAGUCGUAACAAGGUCUCCGUAGGUGAACCUGCGGAGGGAUCAUUACCGAGUUCAUGCCCACACGGGUAGAUCUCCCACCCUAUGUUAUCAUUACCUUUGUUGCUUUGGCGGGCCGCCAGGCUUCGGUCAGGCUACCGGCUCCGGCUGGUACGCGCCCGCCAGAGGACCCCAAACUCUGAAUGUUAGUGUCGUCUGAGUACUAUCUAAUAGUUAAAACUUUCAACAACGGAUCUCUUGGUUCUGGCAUCGAUGAAGAACGCAGCGAAAUGCGAUAAGUAAUGUGAAUUGCAGAAUUCAGUGAAUCAUCGAAUCUUUGAACGCACAUUGCGCCCCUUGGCAUUCCGAGGGGCAUGCCUGUUCGAGCGUCAUUACAACCCUCAAGCACUGCUUGGCAUUGGGCUCCGCUGCUAACCCAGCGGGCCUUAAAAUCAGUGGCGGCGCCCUCAGGCUCUGAGCGUAGUAAAUCUCCUCGCUAUAGAGUCCUGGUGGUGGUAGUCAUCAACCCCCAACUUUUCUAAGUUUGACCUCGGAUCAGGUAGGGAUUCCUGCUGAACUUAAGCAUAUCAAUAAGCGGAGGA